This 2634-nucleotide ribosomal RNA is filed under the name Staphylococcus aureus. RNAcentral describes it as "partial 23S ribosomal RNA". It matches the Rfam family "Bacterial large subunit ribosomal RNA". The record is from RNAcentral. Lineage: Bacteria; Bacillati; Bacillota; Bacilli; Caryophanales; Staphylococcaceae.
GCUUGCUUGUUGGGGUUGUAGGACACUCUAUACGGAGUUACAAAGGACGACAUUAGACGAAUCAUCUGGAAAGAUGAAUCAAAGAAGGUAAUAAUCCUGUAGUCGAAAAUGUUGUCUCUCUUGAGUGGAUCCUGAGUACGACGGAGCACGUGAAAUUCCGUCGGAAUCUGGGAGGACCAUCUCCUAAGGCUAAAUACUCUCUAGUGACCGAUAGUGAACCAGUACCGUGAGGGAAAGGUGAAAAGCACCCCGGAAGGGGAGUGAAAUAGAACCUGAAACCGUGUGCUUACAAGUAGUCAGAGCCCGUUAAUGGGUGAUGGCGUGCCUUUUGUAGAAUGAACCGGCGAGUUACGAUUUGAUGCAAGGUUAAGCAGUAAAUGUGGAGCCGUAGCGAAAGCGAGUCUGAAUAGGGCGUUUAGUAUUUGGUCGUAGACCCGAAACCAGGUGAUCUACCCUUGGUCAGGUUGAAGUUCAGGUAACACUGAAUGGAGGACCGAACCGACUUACGUUGAAAAGUGAGCGGAUGAACUGAGGGUAGCGGAGAAAUUCCAAUCGAACCUGGAGAUAGCUGGUUCUCUCCGAAAUAGCUUUAGGGCUAGCCUCAAGUGAUGAUUAUUGGAGGUAGAGCACUGUUUGGACGAGGGGCCCCUCUCGGGUUACCGAAUUCAGACAAACUCCGAAUGCCAAUUAAUUUAACUUGGGAGUCAGAACAUGGGUGAUAAGGUCCGUGUUCGAAAGGGAAACAGCCCAGACCACCAGCUAAGGUCCCAAAAUAUAUGUUAAGUGGAAAAGGAUGUGGCGUUGCCCAGACAACUAGGAUGUUGGCUUAGAAGCAGCCAUCAUUUAAAGAGUGCGUAAUAGCUCACUAGUCGAGUGACACUGCGCCGAAAAUGUACCGGGGCUAAACAUAUUACCGAAGCUGUGGAUUGUCCUUUGGACAAUGGUAGGAGAGCGUUCUAAGGGCGUUGAAGCAUGAUCGUAAGGACAUGUGGAGCGCUUAGAAGUGAGAAUGCCGGUGUGAGUAGCGAAAGACGGGUGAGAAUCCCGUCCACCGAUUGACUAAGGUUUCCAGAGGAAGGCUCGUCCGCUCUGGGUUAGUCGGGUCCUAAGCUGAGGCCGACAGGCGUAGGCGAUGGAUAACAGGUUGAUAUUCCUGUACCACCUAUAAUCGUUUUAAUCGAUGGGGGGACGCAGUAGGAUAGGCGAAGCGUGCGAUUGGAUUGCACGUCUAAGCAGUAAGGCUGAGUAUUAGGCAAAUCCGGUACUCGUUAAGGCUGAGCUGUGAUGGGGAGAAGACAUUGUGUCUUCGAGUCGUUGAUUUCACACUGCCGAGAAAAGCCUCUAGAUAGAAAAUAGGUGCCCGUACCGCAAACCGACACAGGUAGUCAAGAUGAGAAUUCUAAGGUGAGCGAGCGAACUCUCGUUAAGGAACUCGGCAAAAUGACCCCGUAACUUCGGGAGAAGGGGUGCUCUUUAGGGUUAACGCCCAGAAGAGCCGCAGUGAAUAGGCCCAAGCGACUGUUUAUCAAAAACACAGGUCUCUGCUAAACCGUAAGGUGAUGUAUAGGGGCUGACGCCUGCCCGGUGCUGGAAGGUUAAGAGGAGUGGUUAGCUUCUGCGAAGCUACGAAUCGAAGCCCCAGUAAACGGCGGCCGUAACUAUAACGGUCCUAAGGUAGCGAAAUUCCUUGUCGGGUAAGUUCCGACCCGCACGAAAGGCGUAACGAUUUGGGCACUGUCUCAACGAGAGACUCGGUGAAAUCAUAGUACCUGUGAAGAUGCAGGUUACCCGCGACAGGACGGAAAGACCCCGUGGAGCUUUACUGUAGCCUGAUAUUGAAAUUCGGCACAGCUUGUACAGGAUAGGUAGGAGCCUUUGAAACGUGAGCGCUAGCUUACGUGGAGGCGCUGGUGGGAUACUACCCUAGCUGUGUUGGCUUUCUAACCCGCACCACUUAUCGUGGUGGGAGACAGUGUCAGGCGGGCAGUUUGACUGGGGCGGUCGCCUCCUAAAAGGUAACGGAGGCGCUCAAAGGUUCCCUCAGAAUGGUUGGAAAUCAUUCAUAGAGUGUAAAGGCAUAAGGGAGCUUGACUGCGAGACCUACAAGUCGAGCAGGGUCGAAAGACGGACUUAGUGAUCCGGUGGUUCCGCAUGGAAGGGCCAUCGCUCAACGGAUAAAAGCUACCCCGGGGAUAACAGGCUUAUCUCCCCCAAGAGUUCACAUCGACGGGGAGGUUUGGCACCUCGAUGUCGGCUCAUCGCAUCCUGGGGCUGUAGUCGGUCCCAAGGGUUGGGCUGUUCGCCCAUUAAAGCGGUACGCGAGCUGGGUUCAGAACGUCGUGAGACAGUUCGGUCCCUAUCCGUCGUGGGCGUAGGAAAUUUGAGAGGAGCUGUCCUUAGUACGAGAGGACCGGGAUGGACAUACCUCUGGUGUACCAGUUGUCGUGCCAACGGCAUAGCUGGGUAGCUAUGUGUGGACGGGAUAAGUGCUGAAAGCAUCUAAGCAUGAAGCCCCCCUCAAGAUGAGAUUUCCCAACUUCGGUUAUAAGAUCCCUCAAAGAUGAUGAGGUUAAUAGGUUCGAGGUGGAAGCAUGGUGACAUGUGGAGCUGACGAAUACUAAUCGAUCGAAGACU